CUCAGCCUCCUGCAAAAAAACAAAACAAAAUUACAGAAAUAUUAAACCAUAGUUGUACAAGUAUUAUAAGUUACACAUCACAAUUAAUCUAGUUGUACUAGUUAUAUUAGUUAUAAGAAAUGUGGUCGUACUAGUUAUACUAGUUCCACUGAAUUUGUUUACAACAUAUUAUUACCAGUUACAUCAUUUUCACUCUUUUAGUUGUACUAGUUAUACGAUACUGAGUUGUAUUAGUUAAACUAGUUAUACUUUUGAUAGUUGUACCGGUUAUAUUAGUUAUACUUAGCGUGGUUGUACUAGUUCCACUAAGUUUCUUUUACAACAUAUUAUUACUAGUUAAACUAGUUUCAUUCUUUUAUUUGUACCAUUACAUUACUUAUAUAAUUCCACCUAUUUGUUAGUUCAACCCAAUCAUAGACAUUUUCAAAACUAUUUUAAAUUGAGUUGUUUACCGUUCUUUGCGCAGUAUGGUCAAUGGCAGCCUCGGGUAUGUGUGAAUCUCUAUUGUUGGAUACAAUCUCCUCAUCGUGAUUGUCUAUACGAUGUGAAGGACAAUUUGUGGCAGAUUCUUAGAUUGAAAGUGAGGUUACUGGAGGUUGCAGUGGAUUCUCGGCCUCACUAGGUGCCUGAGUAGGUGAUUUUUGUGGCUCACUCGGAUGCGCUGGGCCUGGUGUACCCCCGACAUCGGCAUGAGAAGGCAAUUCCGCUGAUGGUGCUGGGGAAUGAUCGCCUUGAUGUUCCUGUUCUGGUGGAGAUGCGGUGUUCCGAGCCCACUUGGUUGGAUUCGACAAGGACCCACCGUCGACACCACUGUUUCGCUUCCUCUUCUUCUCUGCGGUCUCGGUUUCAGUCUUCUUCUUCGCCGCAUCUCUCUUUUUUUUUUCACGGCCUCUCUCCUUCUUUUCACUGAUGUUUCUUUUUUCUUUCUCGCGGAGUCCUUCUUCUUCUUCUCCCUCGCAGCUUUCCUCUUCUCCGCCGCAGCUUUCUUCUUCUCCGCCCGAGCUUUCUUCUUCUUCGCCAUUGACUCGUUCUUCUUCUUCUCCAGCACAUCUUCUUUGUUAUUUUUUUCGGCGAGUCGAGUCUUUGGAGACAUAGUUUCUCAAUGAGUGACACGAAAUUGGAGAAAUAGAUGAGAUUCAAGAUGAUUGUUGCCGAGUUUGAUUAGUAAUGGGAGAUAGAGGGAGAUCGUGAUUUACUCUGUAGGUUUCAUUGGUUUUGUCGAAGACAAAGAAUUUAAGAAUUUAGGGUUAUUAAAACACGGAUCGGGUCGGGUUAAUUGUAAGUGGGUGGAUGACUGGUUGGAUAUGUAAAUAUAUUGAAGUUUUAGGUUUUAUGGUAUUUUCUAUUUAAUCUUGAUUUAUUUUUAAUUCAUUAAAAAAAUAAAAAAAGAAGGGGUCUAUUCUAGAUUUUUUUGUGCCCUCCUGGUGCAUCCCAGCAUUUGAUCCUCCAGAGAGCAACCAUCGAGCAGAGUAACGAAGCAUUUCUCAGACGAGUUUAGCCAAUUUUGUGACCGGAAAAUGAGUGACUUCGUUUGGAUGCUUUGUUGGAACAGAGUCUCUGGCCUGAACCGCUUUUACUGGUGAACGAUUUAUAUAGUUUUAUUUUUUAUUGAAAACCAAUUGAAGCGUUGGUGCGUCGAAGAGUGUUUGGUUGGUUCAUCUAUUAGCUAACUCGGUGAACUCGGAGAAAGACUACUGGUUUGAUCUGGUUUAAAUGGAAGCAACUGGUGGUGACCGGUUUAAGGAUCUGGUUUGGGCUAUGGUUCAACCAGGCCUUUAUGUGUACGGUAGUGUGGUUAAGUGCAAGGUAGUUUGAAAACAUUGCUGAGGAAGAAGUACUAGAAGACGAUAUGGUCAAAGGAAUGUGAUAAAAACGAUAAGUGUUUAAACCCAUUGGAUGGUUAAUUAUAUUAGUUAAGGAGUUAUAAAAUUGGUGGGUUUUGAAUAAUUGGAAUGACUUUUGUAAGUGAAUAAUUAAAAACUGGCAAUGACGUUGACCAUGAAAUGUAAAAUUGAUAUGUGAAUUUGUUUUGACAUAUCAAUACAUAUUUUUAAAU
Molecule: long non-coding RNA, 2056 nt
Organism: Brassica napus (rape)
Lineage: Eukaryota; Viridiplantae; Streptophyta; Magnoliopsida; Brassicales; Brassicaceae
Exons: 2
Source: RefSeq, a predicted model, not a curated record